GAUGAAGAACGCAGCGAAAUGCGACAAGUAAUGUGAAUUGCAGAAUUCAGUGAGUCAUCGAAUCUUUGAACGCACAUUGCGCCCUGUGGUAUUCCGCAGGGCAUGCCUGUUCGAGCGUCAUUUCAACCCUCAAGCCCCGCUUGGUGUUGGGCCCCGCCCGCCGUGGCCGGCCCUAAAGACAGUGGCGGCGCCGCCUGGCCCUCAGCGUAGUACAGCUCUCGCUCCAGGGUCCGGCGGCCGCCUGCCAGAACCCCCCCAACUCUGUGGUUGACCUCGGAUCAGGUAGGGAUACCCGCUGAACUUAAGCAUAUCAAUAAGCGGAGGA
RNAcentral lists this unclassified non-coding RNA (325 nucleotides) under soil metagenome. Its description in RNAcentral is "partial contains 5.8S ribosomal RNA, internal transcribed spacer 2, and large subunit ribosomal RNA". The stretch from base 1 to 120 matches the Rfam family "5.8S ribosomal RNA", at positions 35 to 154 of the family's 154-position model. The record is from RNAcentral.